GGUCCCGUGGUCAAGUGGUUAAGACACCGCCCUUUCACGGCGGCUACAGGAGUUCGAAUCUCCUCGGGAUCACCA
RNAcentral lists this transfer RNA (75 nucleotides) under Clostridia bacterium. Its description in RNAcentral is "tRNA-Glu". It matches the Rfam family "tRNA". Rfam says of the family: Transfer RNA (tRNA) molecules are approximately 80 nucleotides in length. Their secondary structure includes four short double-helical elements and three loops (D, anti-codon, and T loops). RNAcentral also lists the same sequence under 1 other name. The record is from RNAcentral. Lineage: Bacteria; Bacillati; Bacillota; Clostridia.